This 3044-nucleotide long non-coding RNA is filed under the name Vitis vinifera (wine grape). Its description in RNAcentral is "long non-coding RNA (VVIN_LNC004709)". Lineage: Eukaryota; Viridiplantae; Streptophyta; Magnoliopsida; Vitales; Vitaceae. The record is from RNAcentral.
AAUCCUUAUUUGCACAAGUCGAUGUCAUAGAUUUAAGAGUGUGGGCAUCAAUCGAUGUCGUAGAUUUGAGAGCGUGGGGAAACCCUAACCUCUUUGUCUAAAGAUCCAGCUCCGAAUCUCUAUCUUCAUCAUCGUCAUCAGGUGAUAUAUUUUUAUGUUGGUACAUUUAUGGUGGUUUAUUUGUGUUAAAUUUUUUUUUCACAUUGAGAAAGGAGGGUGUGUCGAAGCAUGACUAUGAAAUUUACAAAUUCUCUUUUUCUUUCUGUACAAAACUUCACCUUUCUCUCUAAAUUCCUCUCAAUUAAGGACUUCUUUCGGAGAUUUGAUGUAGCUGCUAAUCUUUUGUACUGUUUCUCGAAAACCCCCCCUUUUUUUUUUGUUGGAAAAUGUUCUCAGAUUUUGAAAGUAAGAAAUUUGUUUAUUUUUAAUAUUGAAAUAGAAACCCAAUUGCAGUAAUGAAUGAAGAUGUUUAUUAUUAUUAUUAUUAUUAUUAUUAUUAUUAUUAUUGUUAUUGUUAUUUGUUAUUUGUUUGGUUAAUUUAGAGGUUUGCGGGUUGGUUGAUUAUCUCCAGAAAUCAUUGAUCUCAAAAUUUGUUUUUUUUUUUUUUUGUAUUAAUAAAUUGAAGAUUUUUUUUUAUUAGUUUUUUGUUUGGCUAAUACAGAGGUUUGUGGUUUGGUUGAUUAUCUCUUAGAAAUUGUUGAUCUUAAUUUUUAAAAUUUUUUUUUUGCAAAUUCUAGGAAUAUCUACGAUUGAUGUGAUUUUGUUUCUUUUUCUUUUUUAAUGCUCUGUGGUGCUAGGUUUAAGUUUUUUACAAAUGUUUGGGUGGGCAUUAUUGAAAUUAGUGGGUUUAUUUUGAGAAAUUUAGUUUUCUGGCUGAGGAAUUUAUGCUUCUGAAACAACAAGCAUUCAGUUGAGGAAUUGUUUUAGGGUUAAAACCAUACUAGAUUUUAAUUUUGUUGUUUCUACAUCUUUUAAAGAAUGAUUUUAGGCGGUUAGAGUGUGUUCUUUUGUUGUUUUAAGGUUUUUAGGUUGAAAAUUGAUAUGGAUUUAUGUUUAUUAGAUUGAGUUAGAAUUUUUCCCACGAAUUUAUUUGAGAAGCCAUGAUAUGUAAUUGUGUUUUGAGAUGGUUUUAUACUAAUUAGUUUUAUUUGUGUCUAUUUUUGUGCAUUUAUCUGAGAAUUUUGUUUUUGGUUUUAUAUUUUUCAAAAUGGUUUUUGGUUCAUGACUCUUAGAAUUGGAAAGGUUUAAGCUAAGUAGGAUGAGUUAGCUCUUUUACUUUGGAUUUAUUUAAUAUUCAUUUUUUUUAGGGUUCUGCUUUUAGGAUCGGAUUACAUUUGUGAGUCUUUAAAUUUGAGAUGACUCUUAUUUUAUUUUAUUUUUUUUCAAAUGGUAUUGUGGUUUUCAAACUACAUAACAGAUGUAGACAUAGGCAUUAUCGAGGCUUGGAGACCAUUGAUGCAGUUCUUUUGAUUACAUUACUUUUUACCUUAAUUCAGGAUUGACUUUUGCUCAAAAAUAUUGAUUCUUCAUUUUGGUCUCCUUCAUAGUUAAUGUAAGCAUCACUAUUUCUACAUCUUUGUUAUCUUUGUAAAUAAUUUUUUGCCUUGAAUUGUAUAGCAUACUCAUAUAAUUCAAAGUUGCAAAAGUCUUGACCCACAAAUUACCAUCUCAUGUGGAUUUGGGAGAUAAGAAAUUUACAAGUUGAAAUACAUUGAGCUUUGAUAAUUCUUACAUAUUGAAAACCUUUUUAUUUAUACAAUAUAUUCUGAUGGCAUUUCAAUAUUUAUGUUUACAUUUUGUUUUCUUUUAAAUUUUUAAGCAGAUUCAUGGGUCACAAAGGCUACCAUAGGCUUCAGAAUUAGACUUUAAUAUCUAAGAAGCAUUCCCUUAUUAUAAUACGAAAUGCUUUUGGAAGCUGGUUAUAGAAUUCCCGGGGAAAUGCUUUUAAAUAGAACCUUUUUUUCCCUUCAAUUUGUUACUUUUAGGAAGAUUUUAACUCAAGUCAUAAAAUUUCAUAUGAAAAAAAUUGACAAAUCCUCUUUUAUGUGAAAUUAUGGAUUUUAAUUAGUGUUUUUGACAACCCUAAUAUUAGGAAUAUUAUUGUUUGUGUUGGAAUACUCAAUUUUCUCUUCAAAUCCUUGAACCCAAUGUACCAUCUCAAACAUUUCUUUUUGUUUUACAAAUGAAUGUUGGAAAUAGGAUAGACUGAUGAAGGCCAAAGAACCAAGAACCAAUUUGGGGUAGAUUUGGAGAUCAAUCACUGAAUUGUUAAGAUGAUUUCUUUUUCUAGUUUCAUUUGAUUUUGAGUAGAUUUAGUGGCUAUACUUAUAGUAAUAAAUACACAGUACCCUGCUUUUCAUGGUGAUCAUGUUAGACUAAGAUUUUUUUAUCAAUCUCUACAUGUGGCUUAUGCUAAGAAGUGAAACCAACUCACGACAGACUCCAUUUUAGGACUUUAUUGAAUGAUGGAUGGACCUGAACUUAAGCAUUUUUCAUGUCUCGAAGUUAAAAGAUUCUUUUAUAUGUUUGUUUUAUAAGUUUGUAGGAAAUUUGAGUACUAGUUAUUGAGUAUAAAUUUUAUGCUCAAAUGGCCUUGCAAGAAAGUUUAGCUAAAUUCAAGAAGCAACAAGAGAAGUGUCGAUUGACUCUCACUAGCAUUGCAACCGAAGCAAGAUCCCCUGAGCCUAGAGUACCUUGAGAUGCAUGUUGGAGCAGUUGAGCCUAGUGAUCAUGCUUUGGUAGCGAUGAUGUAAUUACUAUUGGUGGUGGUCUUUAUGUAGCUAUGAAUUUACUUGUUAAUCAUUUUGUAAAAGUUUGAACGUUAGCCAUGUAUUCAAAUACUUUGAUCCACUAGUUCUUUUAGAAAUGUUGGUGUUUUUCUCUGUUAUUUUAAGGUGUAUAUUAGUUACUGCUAUUAGUGGAAAGAAUAGACACACUUGAUUCCUACAUCUUCAUCAUGGUUGAAAAAAUUAUAUGAUAUUACAUGAUUUAUUAUAAAUUUUACUCUCAAAUAUCAAAGAUGUGUAAUUUAAUUCAGUUGGUUA